This 484-nucleotide ribosomal RNA is filed under the name uncultured bacterium. RNAcentral describes it as "partial 16S ribosomal RNA". It matches the Rfam family "Bacterial small subunit ribosomal RNA", at positions 30 to 507 of the family's 1533-position model. The record is from RNAcentral.
AUUGAACGCUGGCGGCAUGCCUUACACAUGCCAGUCGAACGGCAGCACGGACUUCGGUCUGGUGGCGAGUGGCGAACGGGUGAGUAAUGUAUCGGAACGUACCUUUCAGUGGGGGAUAACGUAGCGAAAGUUACGCUAAUACCGCAUAUUCUGUGAGCAGGAAAGCAGGGGAUCGAAAGACCUUGCGCUGAUUGAGCGGCCGAUAUCAGAUUAGCUAGUUGGUGGGGUAAAGGCCUACCAAGGCGACGAUCUGUAGCGGGUCUGAGAGGAUGAUCCGCCACACUGGAACUGAGACACGGUCCAGACUCCUACGGGAGGCUGCAGUGGGGAAUUUUGGACAAUGGGGGCAACCCUGAUCCAGCCAUGCCGCGUGAGUGAAGAAGGCCUUCGGGUUGUAAAGCUCUUUCGGCCGGGAAGAAAUCGCAUAGGCUAAUACCCUGUGUGGAUGACGGUACCGGAAUAAGAAGCACCGGCUAACUACGUG